GACGAACGCUGGCGGCGUGCUUAACACAUGCAAGUCGAACGGAAAGGCCCUGCUUUUGUGGGGUGCUCGAGUGGCGAACGGGUGAGUAACACGUGAGUAACCUGCCCUUGACUUUGGGAUAACUUCAGGAAACUGGGGCUAAUACCGGCUAGGAGCUCCUGCUGCAUGGUGGGGGUUGGUAAGUUUCGGCGGUUGGGGAUGGACUCGCGGCUUAUCAGCUUGUUGGUGGGGUAGUGGCUUACCAAGGCUUUGACGGGUAGCCGGCCUGAGAGGGUGACCGGCCAAAUUGGGACGGAGAUACGGCCCAGACUCCUACGGGAGGCAGCAGUGGGGAAUAUUGCACAAUGGGAGGAGGCCUGAUGCAGCAACGCCGCGUGCGGGAUGACGGCAUUCGGGUUGUAAACCGCUUUCGCCUGUGACGAAGCGUGAGUGACGGUAAUGGGUAAAGAAGCACCGGCUAACUACGUG
RNAcentral lists this ribosomal RNA (468 nucleotides) under uncultured bacterium. RNAcentral's name for it is "partial 16S ribosomal RNA". It matches the Rfam family "Bacterial small subunit ribosomal RNA", at positions 28 to 507 of the family's 1533-position model. The record is from RNAcentral.